UACCGGUUGUCGCGCCAGCGGCAGCGCCGGGUAGCUACGUCCGGAAGGGAGAAACGCUGAAGGCAUCUAAGCGUGAAACCCUCCACAAGAUGAGAUCUCCCGAGCCGUAAGGCUCCUAAAGGCUCCUGGAAGAUGACCAGGUCGAUAGGUCGGGUGUGUAAGCGCGGUGACGCGUUGAGCUUACCGAUACUAAUCAGCCGUGAGGCUUGACCAUAAAU
This 218-nucleotide ribosomal RNA is filed under the name Acidobacteriota bacterium. RNAcentral describes it as "Acidobacteria bacterium partial 23S ribosomal RNA". It matches the Rfam family "Bacterial large subunit ribosomal RNA", at positions 2715 to 2925 of the family's 2925-position model. The record is from RNAcentral. Lineage: Bacteria; Pseudomonadati; Acidobacteriota.